This is a non-coding RNA of Chelonoidis abingdonii (Abingdon island giant tortoise), 262 nucleotides long. The record is from RefSeq and is a predicted model, not a curated record. NCBI's taxonomy places the organism in Eukaryota, Metazoa, Chordata, Testudines, Testudinidae.
AAACGAGUGUCAUCAGCAUGAAAGCAUGUCUUUUCGAACGGUGGCUGAAGCAUGAAGGGGCAUGCAAAUGUUCAGCACACCUGGCAUGCAAAUACCUGCUCUAACUUUGUGGUGACACUGCAAACAAGAAAAGGGCAACAUUAUCUCCUGCAAAUGUAAACAAACUUGUUAGCCUUAGCAACUGUCUGAAUGAGAAGUAGGACUGAGUGGAUCUGCAGGCUCUGAAGUUCCACAUUACUUUGUUUUUGAGUGCAGUUAUAUA